Molecule: transfer RNA, 68 nt
Filed under: Caulobothrium sp. MZUSP 7989
Lineage: Eukaryota; Metazoa; Platyhelminthes; Cestoda; Tetraphyllidea
Also listed under: 1 other name
Description: tRNA-Glu
Source: RNAcentral
UUUGUCUUAGUAUAAAAAUUACAGUAGCUUUUCGUGCUAUAAAUAGUCAUCUUACUGACUAGACAAGG